RNAcentral lists this small RNA (485 nucleotides) under Histoplasma capsulatum var. duboisii H88. Its description in RNAcentral is "Histoplasma capsulatum H88 hypothetical RNA". Lineage: Eukaryota; Fungi; Ascomycota; Eurotiomycetes; Onygenales; Ajellomycetaceae. The record is from RNAcentral.
AGAAAUUAGCCGGCUAUUCAGAACUAUCCUAAAAAACUUCGAUAUUCUGUUCACUUCCGGUUGUUAGACCCACAUCCACGUCUCGCCUCAUUUACAAUACAGCUUCACAGCCAGCCAGCUUAAGAGCCUCAUCAAAGGGAUCAUUUACUAUGACGAACCAGUGACGGUUAUUAUGCCGGCUGAUCGCAAAUAUAAUGUGUGGGCCCUACCCGAUGUGGGAGAGAUUGAGGUUUGGAAAAAAGGUGUUAGUGACGUGACGGCGAAAACAUGGGCCCCGCUCUUCGCCAAAAUCGACGAGCCGAUAAUGAAGCAAAGCAUCCUGCUUGGUCUAUGCGAAUCACGAUAUUUGUCCUGGAAUUUCCAGAAUAUUGGAAGUGCAUGUGGUACGAUUGAAUUCCGUCGCCCACCAGCUCUCAAGUCUGCCACAGAGGCGAUUCAUUGGAUCUCCUUCACGCUGGGGUUCGUCGCUCAUUCGAUGCAGAGGG